GAUGAAUGCUGGCGGCGUGCCUAACACAUGCAAGUCGAGCGGCAGCGAAGGGUGCUUGCACCCUGUCGGCGAGCGGCGGACGGCUGAGUAACGCGUGGGAAUCUACCCUAAAGUGAGGGAUAACCGCCCGAAAGGGUGGCUAAUACCGCAUAUGAUCUUCGGAUUAAAGGAUUUAUCCGCUUUAGGAAGAGCCCGCGUUAGAUUAGGUAGUUGGUAGGGUAAUGGCCUACCAAGCCAACGAUCUAUAGCUGGUCUGAGAGGAUGAUCAGCCAGACUGGAACUGAGACACGGUCCAGACUCCUACGGGAGGCAGCAGUGAGGAAUCUUCCACAAUGGGCGAAAGCCUGAUGGAGCAACGCCGCGUGAAGGAUGAAGGCCUUCGGGUUGUAAACUUCUUUUAUGAGUGAAGAAUAUGACGGUAACUCAUGAAUAAGCACCGGCUAACUACGUGCCAGCAGCCGCGGUCAUACGUAGGGUGCAAGCAUUAUCCGGAGUGACUGGGCGUAAAGAGUUGCGUAGGCGGUUUAAUAAGUGAAUAGUGAAACCUGGUGGCUCAACCAUACAGACUAUUAUUCAAACUGUUAAACUCGAGAGUGGUAGAGGUAACUGGAAUUUCUAGUGUAGGAGUGAAAUCCGUAGAUAUUAGAAGGAACACCAAUGGCGUAGGCAGGUUACUGGACCAUUUCUGACGCUAAGGCACGAAAGCGUGGGGAGCGAACUGGAUUAGAUACCCAGGUAGUCCACGCCGUAAACGAUGGAUACUAGCUGUUGGAGGUAUCGACCCCUUCAGUAGCGAAGCUAACGCGUUAAGUAUCCCGCCUGUGGAGUACGGCCGCAAGGCUAAAACAUAAAGGAAUUGACGGGGACCCGCACAAGCGGUGGAUCAUGUUCUUUAAUUCGAUGAUAAACGAAGAACCUUACCAGGGUUUGACAUCCCGAGAAGAUUUACGAAAGUAGAUUGUGCCUUUUGGAACUCGGUGACAGAUGAUGCAUGGCCGUCGUCAGCUCGUGUCGUGAGAUGUUUGGUUAAGUCCAUCAACGAGCGCAA
RNAcentral lists this ribosomal RNA (1048 nucleotides) under uncultured Candidatus Saccharibacteria bacterium. Its description in RNAcentral is "bacterial SSU rRNA". It matches the Rfam family "Bacterial small subunit ribosomal RNA", at positions 28 to 1101 of the family's 1533-position model. Lineage: Bacteria; Candidatus Saccharimonadota. The record is from RNAcentral.